UCAGAGUCAAUUCCUCUAUUGACCAAAAGUGCCAAUUAUUGCAAUUGAACAUUUAAUUGCUAUCAAAUCCUCAGGUCACAAUCGAUUACACACAUUACCACUAAUUUUUCCUUGUUCCAAGCUUUAACAUUUUUUAACAAUUUUCUCUCACUACUCUCUCUCUAGAUUAGGGCAAUUCUUGCUUACAGCUUCAAAACUUUAUCAUUUUGACUUAAACCAGUUAAAAAGCACUAGUUUAACUCCGAGAAACCUUUUUAUUACGAUUGGGUAAAAAAUCAACUUGUUAAAACUCCCGAAUUCACUUUCUCAUUAGUUAAAAUUAAGAAAAAAUAGGGUAGGUUUGGAGGUUAACGUACUUACUCAAUAAGUAAUGAGUCAGAGACACAAUCCUUGCUCCUGAUUUAGCUUGCUCUAGCAGAUCCCUUGCACUUCUCCACAUUUGAUCUCUUCUCUUAUGUUCUCCCUUCUGUUUUCCACGAGCUAGACACAUUCUACUAAUUUGAUUUUUGCUCCAUGCACCACGGCGCAUUUAUCACCAACCACGAUGUGUGGCACAGUGAGGGAAAUCCUCACUAUGCUUACACGCUUUGCUCCGGGAUUCUACUCUUUUACUCAUAUCUGUUUAUAUAACAUCCCAAUAAGUCGAUAUAACACUUCAUCACGUAGAACUCUAAUCCCACAUUAAAUAACUGAUUCAUUCCUAAUUAGUCAUUAAUGCAUGAUUAUAAAUUCGGGAUGUUACGUGAUGCAUAUCAAUUAUUCAAAGCUUGAUUCCAAUUCCUUCCCCUUUGGUUUCUCUAGGGCCAAACUCCUAUAUAUCAAAUAAGGCCUAAUAAGUUUUAAGGUUUUUUUUAAAUUUUAAAGAAUUAUUUUAAAAGUAAUUUAUAAAUAUAAUUAUAUGAAGUCUUUAGGAUCAAAUUAUUCUUGAAUACAACGAACUAAACCACAUGAUUCCUAUAUGUUUGAACUUUGGAGGUUUGUGAGGAGAAAGUGAAGGAAUGGUGUGAUUCAAGGGGAAAACAUGCCUUACUUUCAAACGUCUGCAAAAGAGAACUACAAUGUUGAAGAGGCAUUCUCAUGUGUUGCUAAAAUUGCGCUGGAAAAUGAACAUGAACAAGACAUAUAUUUUCCGAGGAUGUCCGAAACUGUUUCAGAAGCAGAACCACGUAGUCCUUGCGCGUGCUAAUUAAGCUUGGAUCAUGGAUGCCAUCUCAAAUUAGGAAUGGAUGACAUUUGCUUUCUUUUCUUUUCAUUUUUUUUGGGUCAUUUUCUUCAAUCAAUCAAAUGAGUAAAUUAUAAUAAUAAUUUUUUUGAAGUCUUAUUGAGAAUACAUUUAUUUUUUUAAAAAAACUUUUGUUUAUUUUUG
This is a long non-coding RNA of Prosopis cineraria, 1366 nucleotides long. RefSeq lists it as uncharacterized. The transcript has 2 exons. Lineage: Eukaryota; Viridiplantae; Streptophyta; Magnoliopsida; Fabales; Fabaceae. The record is from RefSeq and is a predicted model, not a curated record.